Molecule: ribosomal RNA, 816 nt
Filed under: Hemicycliophora sp. TSH-2011
Lineage: Eukaryota; Metazoa; Nematoda; Chromadorea; Rhabditida; Hemicycliophoridae
Description: SSU rRNA
Rfam family: Eukaryotic small subunit ribosomal RNA
Source: RNAcentral
CAUUUGCCAAGCGCGUCUUCAUUAAUCAAGAACGAAAGUCAGAGGUUCGAAGGCGAUCAGAUACCGCCCUAGUUCUGACCGUAAACGAUGCCAACUAGCGAUCCGCCGGUGGCCCUAUGGCCCUGGUGGGGAGCUUCCCGGAAACGAAAGUCUUCCGGUUCCGGGGGAAGUAUGGUUGCAAAGCUGAAACUUAAAGGAAUUGACGGAAGGGCACCACCAGAGGUGGAGCCUGCGGCUUAAUUUGACUCAACACGGGAAAACUCACCCGGCCCGGACACCGUGAGGAUUGACAGAUUGAUAGCUUUUUCAUGAUUCGGUGGUUGGUGGUGCAUGGCCGUUCUUAGUUCGUGGAUCGAUUUGUCUGGUUUAUUCCGAUAACGAGCGAGACUCCAGCCUACUAAAUAGUGCUAGCAUUGCUACUGUGCCAUGCACUUCUUAGAGGGAUUGGCUGCGUCUAGCGGCACGAAACGGAGCAAUAACAGGUCUGUGAUGCCCUUAGAUGUCCGGGGCUGCACGCGCGCUACACUGGCAAAGGCAACGUGCUUGUCCGUCUCCGAAAGGAGCCGGUAAACCCUUGAAAAUUUGCCGUGAUUGGGAUCGGAAAUUGCAAUUAUUUUCCGUGAACGAGGAAUCUCUAGUAAGUGCGAGUCAUCAGCUCGCGUUGAUUACGUCCCUGCCCUUUGUACACACCGCCCGUCGCUGCCUAGAACUGAGCCAUUUCGAGAAUAUUCGGGAUCGCCGGUUACGGGUCCUUCACGGGACACGUCUCUGGCCUGAGAACGAACGUAAUCGCAGUGGCUUGAACCGGGCAAAAGU